Molecule: non-coding RNA, 27 nt
Filed under: Cricetulus griseus (Chinese hamster)
Lineage: Eukaryota; Metazoa; Chordata; Mammalia; Rodentia; Cricetidae
Source: RNAcentral
GAUACGUUUGGGCCCAGAUUGUCUGUC